This is a long non-coding RNA of Callorhinchus milii (elephant shark), 286 nucleotides long. RefSeq lists it as uncharacterized. Lineage: Eukaryota; Metazoa; Chordata; Chondrichthyes; Chimaeriformes; Callorhinchidae. The transcript has 3 exons. The record is from RefSeq and is a predicted model, not a curated record.
GCAGCCCAGGCUGGGACCAGCUCGUGAUCGCAGUCAGUACUCGUUCCUGAGGGAUUUGGGCCAUUUAAAGGUGAUGGUGGCCGUUUGACCGACAGUCACUGGCAGCAUUGAGGGCGUCUGUGUCAUUACAAGCUCACCGCUGACACCUGUGGGGAAGAAAAGCAGAAUCAGCUCAUGGAUGCCAAACUAAAGGACACUCCCAGCUUGUUUAAACCAACCAGAAAACUAUCAGAAAACUACGGCUCGAGACACUCGACCAUUCCAAGGUUCCAGCAACAUCGGAAAA